RNAcentral lists this ribosomal RNA (756 nucleotides) under uncultured bacterium. RNAcentral describes it as "bacterial SSU rRNA". It matches the Rfam family "Bacterial small subunit ribosomal RNA", at positions 636 to 1392 of the family's 1533-position model. The record is from RNAcentral.
UNUGACUUGAGUGCAGAAGGGGAGAGUGGAAUUCCAUGUGUAGCGGUGAAAUGCGUAGAUAUAUGGAGGAACACCAGUGGCGAAAGCGGCUCUCUGGUCUGUCACUGACGCUGAGGCUCGAAAGCGUGGGUAGCGAACAGGAUUAGAUACCCUGGUAGUNCACGCCGUAAACGAUGAGUGCUAGGUGUUAGGCCCUUUCCGGGGCUUAGUGCCGGAGCUAACGCAAUAAGCACUCCGCCUGGGGAGUACGACCGCAAGGUUGAAACUCAAAGGAAUUGACGGGGGCCCGCACAAGCGGUGGAGCAUGUGGUUUAAUUCGAAGCAACGCGAAGAACCUUACCAGGUCUUGACAUCCCGAUGCUAUUCUUAGAGAUAGGAAGUUACUUCGGUACAUCGGAGACAGGUGGUGCAUGGUUGUCGUCAGCUCGUGUCGUGAGAUGUUGGGUUAAGUCCCGCAACGAGCGCAACCCUUAUUGUUAGUUGCCAUCAUUAAGUUGGGCACUCUAGCGAGACUGCCGGUAAUAAACCGGAGGAAGGUGGGGAUGACGUCAAAUCAUCAUGCCCCUUAUGACCUGGGCUACACACGUGCUACAAUGGUCGGUACAACGAGUUGCGAGCCGGUGACGGCAAGCUAAUCUCUGAAAGCCGAUCUCAGUUCGGAUUGGAGGCUGCAACUCGCCUCCAUGAAGUCGGAAUCGCUAGUAAUCGCGGAUCAGCACGCCGCGGUGAAUACGUUCCCGGGCCUUGUACACACCG